CCUACGGGGGGCAGCAGUGGGGAAUAUUGCGCAAUGGGCGAAAGCCUGACGCAGCGACGCCGCGUGAGGGAUGAAGGUCUUCGGAUCGUAAACCUCUUUCAGCAGGGAAGAACGGUCACUGUGCUAAUCAGCAGUGAAUUGACGGUACCUGCAAAGGACGCACCGGCUAACUCCGUGCCAGCAGCCGCGGUAAUACGGAGGGUGCGAGCGUUAAUCGGAAUUACUGGGCGUAAAGCGCUCGUAGGCGGUAUGUCAAGUCAAGGGGGAAAUCCCCGCGCGCAACGUGGGAACUGCCUUUGAAACUGGCAAACUGGAGUGUGUGAGAGGAUAGUGGAAUUCCAGGUGUAGGAGUGAAAUCCGUAGAUAUCUGGAGGAACAUCAGUGGCGAAGGCGACUAUCUGGCACAUAACUGACGCUGAGGAGCGAAAGCGUGGGUAGCAAACAGGAUUAGAUACCCGGGUAGUC
RNAcentral lists this ribosomal RNA (465 nucleotides) under uncultured bacterium. RNAcentral's name for it is "partial 16S ribosomal RNA". It matches the Rfam family "Bacterial small subunit ribosomal RNA", at positions 338 to 795 of the family's 1533-position model. The record is from RNAcentral.